GUGUGUGUGGUUUAUUUUUAAAAUAUGAGGCUGUUAACUUCAAGACGGGCUAUUGCUCCACAGGCG
This 66-nucleotide transfer RNA is filed under the name Azygia robusta. Its description in RNAcentral is "tRNA-Asn". The record is from RNAcentral. Lineage: Eukaryota; Metazoa; Platyhelminthes; Trematoda; Azygiida; Azygiidae.